CCUACGGGAUGCAGCAGUAGGGAAUCUUCCACAAUGGGCGAAAGCCUGAUGGAGCAACGCCGCGUGGGUGAAGAAGGUCUUCGGAUUGUAACACCCUGUUGUUAGAGAAGAAAGGGCGGUAGAGUAACUGUUCACGUUUCGACGGUACCUAACCAGUAAGCCACGGCUAACUACGUGCCAGCAGCCGCGGUAAUACGUAGGUUGCAAGCGUUAUCCGGAUUUCUUGGGCGUAAAGGGAACGCAGGCGGUUUUUUAAGCCUGAUGUGAAAGCCUUCGGCUUAACCGGGGUAGUGCAUUGGAGACUGGGAGACUUGAGUGCAGGAGAGGAGCGUGGAACUCCAUGUGUAGCAGUGAAAUGCGUAGAUAUAUGGAAGAACACCAAUGGCGAAAGCAGCUCUCUGGUCUGUAACUGACGCUGAGGUUCGAAAGCGUGGGUAGCAAACAGGAUUAGAUACCCGAGUAGUC
This 465-nucleotide ribosomal RNA is filed under the name uncultured bacterium. RNAcentral describes it as "partial 16S ribosomal RNA". It matches the Rfam family "Bacterial small subunit ribosomal RNA", at positions 338 to 795 of the family's 1533-position model. The record is from RNAcentral.